CCUACGGGUGGCAGCAGUGAGGAAUAUUUGUCAAUGGGCGGGAGCCUGACCCAGCCAAGCCGCGUGAAGGAAGAAGGCGCCAAGCGUCGUAAACUUCUUUUGUCGUGGAACACAGGGCGCCACGUGUGGCGUUGUGAGUGUACCCGAAGAAAAAGCAUCGGCUAACUCCGUGCCAGCAGCCGCGGUAGUACUGAGGAUGCGAGGGUUAUCCGGAUUUAUUGGGUUUAAGGGGUGCGUAGGCGGUCAGGAAAGUCCGCGUGAAAAGCCCGGGGCUCAAACACAGCGAGCCGUUGAAACUGUCGGACUAGAGACGGCGAGAAGUACGCGGAAUGCGCGGUGUAGCGGUGAAAUGCAUAGAUAUCGCGCAGAACGCCGAUUGAGAAGGCAGCGUACCGGCGCCGGACUGACGCUGAGGCACGAAAGCGUGGGUAUCGAACAGGAUUAGAUACCCUUGUAGUC
This 459-nucleotide ribosomal RNA is filed under the name uncultured bacterium. Its description in RNAcentral is "partial 16S ribosomal RNA". It matches the Rfam family "Bacterial small subunit ribosomal RNA", at positions 338 to 795 of the family's 1533-position model. The record is from RNAcentral.